RNAcentral lists this long non-coding RNA (403 nucleotides) under Rattus norvegicus (Norway rat). RNAcentral's name for it is "long non-coding RNA NONRATT003587". The record is from RNAcentral. Lineage: Eukaryota; Metazoa; Chordata; Mammalia; Rodentia; Muridae.
GCUGAUUUGGACCUUGACAAUGAACGUCCUAAGCAUCUUCGCAACACUAAUUGGUGUGUUUUUAGCAACAUUCGAACUGAUAAUUACCUCGCGUUUAGACUCUUCCCUGUGGCAACAUAAAAGUGGUAGGUUGCUUACAGAAUAUCUGUUACUGUUCACCAUGUUGGAGUUCUCCAUGGCAGUCAUGGUAACUGAGUGGACCUAUAGAGCAAGACAAACAGAAUAAGUUGAUCAUUAUCACCAAUGAUGCCCUUUUCCUGUGUAUUAAGAAGAGUGUCACGGUCUCAGUCAAGGAGGAAGGUCUGAUGAUGGUGAAGAACUUUGUUCAAGAAACAGCUUUUUAUUAAGUCUUCCUUAGCAUUUCCUCACCUCCAUUUCAUUAAUAAAAACUGGUAACAGUGAA